ACCUUAUCCGGUCGCUUGCUCGCACCGCUCGCUUGCUCUCGCUCGCUCUCCCUCUCCUCUCCCUCGCCGGCCACCUUAUCCCCUUCCCUCGUCGCCUCUCCCUCGCCGGCCUCUCCUCUCCGUGGCCGGCCACUCCCUUUCCUCGUCGCCGCCUUCCCCCUCUCCUCGUCACCGGCCUCUUCCUCUUCCCGUCGCCGGCCUCUUCCACCGCCCCUUUCUCCCCACCACCCAGCCUUCACUCACACCCCGUAGGCAAAAUUGAUUCUUUUUGCGUCGGCGACGAGCUUCUCUGUGACGGAGGCAUGGAUGUGUAGCAGCGUCAGAGCUGGAUAUGGGCUAGGGGGCGUGGAUGUGGAGCGGCGCCCGAGGGGACCUAGAGCGACGGAUCUCACGAGUCGGAGCAGCGCCCAAGCGGACCUAGAGUGGUGGCGGAGCAGCAGAGCGGCGGAUCUGACGAGUCGGAGCAGCGCCUGAGCGGACCUAGAGUGGCGCCGGAGCCUCCACGUCGUCGUACAGACCAUUGACUAGCUCCGCGGGUCGCCGGGCUUCUGGCGAAGAUCUUCGUGUGGGUCCUGGGGAUGCCGGUGGUGGGCUGGGUCCUGCUCUACAUCCUCAAGAAGGACAAUCUCAUCAACAAGCCGUAAGCAAGUCAAUAACGGAGACGGUCGAGCACUGUCAUCACACUGAACCUGCAACACCAGUGAGAUGACUGAAGAUUGGGUUGUGGUUGGAAUGAGAGGAGAAGCAAAUCACUUGACCAGUUGAAUCCUUGGGUGUACAAGACGGCCGAGCUGUGGCAGGUGAAGGAGCCGCUGCCGCUGCCCGCGCUGAAGAAGCGCAACUGCUCCAUGGUGUUCACCCUCAAGGAGAUGCAGGAGGCCACCGGCAUGUUCAGCGACAAGAACCUCAUCGGCAAGGGCGGCUUCGGCCGGGUUUACAGGGGCGUGCUCAAAGAUGGGCAGAUUCUCUUGAUUGGAGUGGAGAGGAGCAGAGACGAGAGGAGCAGCAGAAGUGGACAGCGCAGCGGCUGACCUUGAGCUCUUGAUUGGAGUGGGGGGAGGCGGCCGGCGAAGGAUCUGUGGCCAGCAACGAAGGAUCCGAAGUUGUGGCGGAGCAAGCAGCCGGCGGGAAGGGCGGCUGGCGAGGGAGCUGCGGAUCUUGGCGCGGAAGGGCGGCCGAUGAGGGAGCUGCGGACCACGGCGGGGAAGGGCGGCCGGCCGGCGAGGGAGCUGCGGACCGCGGCGGGGAAGGACGCCGGAGAUGCGGACGACGGAGGAGCCCGGCGAAAGGGAGCAGCGACGGCGGAGAAGCCUGGCGGAGUGGAGGAGCGACGGAGGAAGACGUACGCCUCCCGAUGGAUUUCAAAUCGGGGGUAGUAUUGUACUUUCACACUAUUUCACCUGUGAUGAUUUUUGCAGAACCACAUGCCGAUGGUGCACUUGCCUUUGGAAUUAAAGAUCAGCUUACUACACUAACCAGAUAUCAUAUAUAAAUACUCUACUCUACAGCAGUAUGAAGGGAUUUCAGGGCUAGCAAAUAUGUUAAAGAUAGAUACAGAGAAAGGCAAUUAGGGGAGUGGAUUCCGAUAAUGAUGCGAAAAAAAUUCCUUUGGGUCGAACACAUACUCUUGAAAGAAAGCAAGAAGCUUCUUGGUAAUGGAGAUGGUUCUCUUAUAUUUGGUAGGAGUCAGAAAAAAUCCAGCAUGGAAAAACACCACAUUCAACAUGGUGUAAUUAUGAUGAUCUAAACGAGUAUUCCUGGACUUCUGAUUGUUUCUCACUGCCAUGACCAAUACGGGAUGAUGGUGGCUUCUUCAAAUAUGUGCAAGAUAUGUCCUCUUUAGCAUCACUGGAUUUUUGAAAACGUUAUAUCUGAAUUUAGAGUGCACUUCUGCAAAAAAGAUUUUGUCCUGAUUACUAUUUCGAUUUUAUUUCUGUAGGCACUGUGAAAUGAUCGAAUGCCGCUAAUCAUUUUGGAGGUUUGUUGUAGGGUGCUCUACCAGGUCAUAAUAUGCACCCACACAAUUCAAGUUCAUAUUCUGGAAGGACAUUGACCAACGAACCUUGUAGUAAUGUUACAGGUCAUAAAAUUGUGUAUUCCUACUAACCAUCAUUGCAUGUGUGCAGUGGUUAGAGAUUUUGUAGUGGAUAAUCAAUUAUCUUUAUCUGCUUCUAACUCAAGGAAUCAUACUGCAACAUUUCCUCCAGUGCAGGCAAACUCAAAUGAUAGUUAGUAAACUUGGUUAGUAAUAUUUUUUGUUUUCUUACCUUGCAUUUGUGAUACGUCACUGAACAUGUUUAUUAGUUUGUCACGUCACUCCUGCUUGACAUGCCAAUUCACAAAGGGCAGCCCGGUGCACAUCGCUCCCGCUUGCGCAGGGUCCGGGGAACGGUCCGACCACUUGACAUGCCAAUUCACAAAAAUGAAAGAAAUCCAGAUGACCUGUGAACCUCCCUGUUGACAUAAAAUUAAUGUUGUUUUAUGUCUAAGCCUCAUCUAUCAUAUACAUGUACAGUUACGGUGGUGGAUUUCAAUUCCUGUAACUUAGUUUUCUUACGAGAUGUAACUCAUCUACUAAUAUAUAGUAGUAUGUAUAAAGUUUCUUAAUCAAGCUAGCCUAAUGGACGGCACCAUACUUAGCCAAGCUAAUAGACGACCCAUGCCCAGUACGAUUUUUUCAACUGCUGUAUAAUGGUAUUAUGAUUUCGUGCUCUUUUUCAGAAAAUCUGGGUGAUGAAGCUGACUCAAUAGAUCCAGAUUUUGGCCGCUAAAGCUGGUAGUGCAUCCUUGUCUAUGGUGUGGACAGAGGGAGAAAGGAGGCAAUUAACUACAGUCUGAAUGUAAAAUAAAAUUGUCUAAAUUAAAAUAGAAUCUGAUAAAACAAAACAAAGGAGGUCAUUAACUAGAGAAUUAGGCUGGACUAGAUAUACAUAUUAUACUGUAUUUUCCCACUAAAAACAUCCAGCGGGGAGGCUGAUGCAGCACUAUCACGAAUUGUUCCAGCUCUUCCUGAAUCGAUAUGGUUUGUCGAUGUUGGGAUCCUCGACGGUGAUUAGCAACUGAAUCGUGGAUGGAAGUACACUUUACUUCAAAGGAUUGCACACAUAUGAAGCGGUUAUUGAUGAAGUCAUGGAAAAGGGACUUGCCAAUGCUACACAGUCAUGAAAUCUUUGUCUGUUUCACUCUUCUUCCAUACAUGAUAUGCAAGGUUCUUGGGAUGCUCGGUACUGUUGCCAGGAGGUACAAAAUGGUUUGAUCUGUCAAGCAUGGAUUGCUGAAGCACAAAAUACAAGGGGGUGCAUGAGGAGGCGAGAGCUGACGGCAACCAUUGGAGGAGGUCUGGUCGGUCGAAGAGUAAGGCGUGGGCAACUCCGGAGAGAUUUGGCUUGAGCAAAUGUCGAUGCUGCUGCAAUGAGAAGACCCUUUCUGUGAGCCCUAUCCCUCUCAUUUAGCGUCUCGAUUUUGGGUUCUUCUGCUCCCUGUUUCUCUGUUCAUUUGUGGUGAUGGAUAGAAAGCAUCCAUACUUCCAUAGGCAGAAGCUUGCACUUACCAAAUAGGCAUGUAAUUCAGGCAAUAGCUGAGCUCCCAGCCUCCUAAGACUGGCAUGGGCACAUCAAUAAGGGCAUGGAGCCCGUCAAAGAGGAGGUCGGAGCGGCGUUGGACCUGGAUCAACUCAUCUAAAUCAAGCGGCCGGCCUCGGCUGGGAGUCACCAACGCUCCACCUGGACGGCGUCGGCUGGGGCAGCUCCACAUGCAAUGGCUGGCCGGGGACCAGACCUCGACAGGAACGUGUUGCCCUUUGAGCCGGUGCAGAGCGACAAGUUCGUAGCAUCGUUAUAGUUUUUUGCACAAAGAUAGACCCUGUAGUACUGAUCAGGUGAAACAGAUCGAUGUGGCACUGGUACUGAACUGAAGCAACAAUUUGUUCAACAAAAUAUGAUCCAAAUAGAGCGCAUAUUAGUUUCUAUAA
This is a long non-coding RNA of Aegilops tauschii subsp. strangulata, 3970 nucleotides long. RefSeq lists it as uncharacterized. The record is from RefSeq and is a predicted model, not a curated record. NCBI's taxonomy places the organism in Eukaryota, Viridiplantae, Streptophyta, Magnoliopsida, Poales, Poaceae.